Rhincodon typus (whale shark) is the source of this 141-nucleotide small nuclear RNA. RefSeq annotates it as U4 spliceosomal RNA. The transcript has a single exon. The record is from RefSeq and is a predicted model, not a curated record. NCBI's taxonomy places the organism in Eukaryota, Metazoa, Chordata, Chondrichthyes, Orectolobiformes, Rhincodontidae.
AGCUUUUCUCAGUAGCAGUAUCGUCGCUUAUGAGGUUUAUCCGAAGCACGAUUAUUGCUUAUUCGAAACUAUCCCCAAUAGCGCACUGUGCCAACUUGCAAUCCAGUCAGUCAGGGCAAUUUUUAAUGGACUCUCCGGAGA